Molecule: ribosomal RNA, 373 nt
Filed under: uncultured bacterium
Lineage: Bacteria
Description: bacterial SSU rRNA
Rfam family: Bacterial small subunit ribosomal RNA
Source: RNAcentral
UAAUACGGAGGGUGCAAGCGUUAUCCGGAUUCACUGGGUUUAAAGGGUGUGUAGGCGGAUAUUUAAGUCAGUGGUGAAAUCUCCAGGCUCAACCUGGAAACUGCCAUUGAUACUAUUUAUCUUGAAUAUCGUUGAGGUAGGCGGAAUAUGUCAUGUAGCGGUGAAAUGCUUAGAGAUGACAUAGAACACCAAUUGCGAAGGCAGCUUACUAAACGAUUAUUGACGCUGAGGCACGAAAGCGUGGGGAUCAAACAGGAUUAGAUACCCUGGUAGUCCACGCCCUAAACGAUGAUUACUCGACAUACGCGAUACACAGUGUGUGUCUGAGCGAAAGCAUUAAGUAAUCCACCUGGGAAGUACGACCGCAAGGUUG